This is a long non-coding RNA of Mytilus trossulus (common blue mussel), 439 nucleotides long. RefSeq lists it as uncharacterized. NCBI's taxonomy places the organism in Eukaryota, Metazoa, Mollusca, Bivalvia, Mytilida, Mytilidae. The record is from RefSeq and is a predicted model, not a curated record. The transcript is spliced from 3 exons.
UAGAAUGAUGUCGAAUGGGCAGGCCUUCCUAACUUCCGGACAGGCGCCAUAUUGGAAAAAACUGGACAUACUCAGAGAGUCAGUGGAAAUACUAGACACAACAUCCUAGCUGGUUUUCCAAUUUGUCCUACAGACUAUGAAAACACUGCUGUAGUUCUUUGAUUCUUUGAUAACUUGUACAUGUUGUUGUGAUGUAACCAAUUACUUUUCAUAAACUACAUGUACAAAAUGAAAGACAGAAGGUUAGAAUGCAGAACUGGUGAAGAUGAAGGUUGUAAUUGUGAUCUACAUAUUGAUUAAUUUGAAGCAGAAUUUGUUCUUAAGAGUGAAAUAAAAAAAAAACUGUGUUUUAGAAAGAUGUUCCACUAUUACCACAACAACAAAAAUAUUCAUUGUUUGAUUGAGAGAUAAAAAUGUAAAUAAAGAGUACUAGACACGU